Hydra vulgaris (swiftwater hydra) is the source of this 718-nucleotide non-coding RNA. Lineage: Eukaryota; Metazoa; Cnidaria; Hydrozoa; Anthoathecata; Hydridae. The record is from RefSeq and is a predicted model, not a curated record.
AAUAUACCUUAAAGCUACAAAAGUUUUGUCAAAACAUUGAUCCAUUUUAAAAUAUGGCAUAAAAACAUUUAUAUCAGGGCAUUUUCAAACCAAAAGUUUAACUACGAAAUUGGUGAGAUAUUCAAGCCAUUUCGUUUUGUAAACAAUUUUUUUCGCAACAUUUAAUGUUAUGAAUGUGAAUCAAUAGCAUUUGGAACAGUUUUUUUUUCAAAACAUAUCCGCCAUAAUUACCAACUUACUAAGAAAACAAUAAAGGCGCUUUGCUUAUUUGAAAAUCCACAAGGCAAUACCAAUCUAGCCGGUUAGCCUUAGAUAGGAUGCACCAAAAGUACAUUUAUAAUUUUUUUAAAAACGCCGACCUAGAAAGCGCGUCACAAGUUUAGCGCAUGCGUUUUUCAAAUCUUAAAGUCCUCGUGAAUUCAAAGUAAUUUUUUUGUAUUUAAAACGAGUUCACUUUAUAUUCUUGACAUCAAAAUGAAUGAAAAAAACUUUUGCCAAGAUUUAGAAGAUGUAGCGAAUGCCCUAAGAAGUCAUCAUAGAGCACCACGGAUGAGCAUAUAUUUGGAAGUUCACGCCUCCUUCCUGACCGAUGUCGCAAAGAAUCCGUAGUUCAAAGCGCUUAGAGGUGGGGUUGGAACUACGGAUUCUUUGUUUCUCAAACACGCAAUAACGAUGUAACAUAACAUAACAUUUAAAAACUUAUUUGAAUAGCAUUAAA